UGAGGAAUAUUGGUCAAUGGACGCAAGUCUGAACCAGCCAAGUAGCGUGCAGGAUGACGGCCCUAUGGGUUGUAAACUGCUUUUAUAUGGGGAUAAAGUGGGGAACGUGUUCCCUUUUGCAGGAACCAUAUGAAUAAGGACCGGCUAAUUCCGUGCCAGGAGCCGCGGUAAUACGGAAGGUUCGGGCGUUAUCCGGAUUUAUUGGGUUUAAAGGGAGCGUAGGCCGUUUGGUAAGCGUGUUGUGAAAUGUAGGAGCUCAACUUCUAGAUUGCAGCGCGAACUGUCAGACUUGAGUGCGCACAACGUAGGCGGAAUUCAUGGUGUAGCGGUGAAAUGCUUAGAUAUCAUGAAGAACUCCGAUUGCGAAGGCAGCUUACGGGAGCGCAACUGACGCUGAAGCUCGAAGGUGCGGGUAUCGAACAGG
Molecule: ribosomal RNA, 424 nt
Filed under: Verrucomicrobiota bacterium
Lineage: Bacteria; Pseudomonadati; Verrucomicrobiota
Description: Verrucomicrobia bacterium partial 16S ribosomal RNA
Rfam family: Bacterial small subunit ribosomal RNA
Source: RNAcentral